UGCAGAGAGAGAAUUGUUGAGGAGUGAGAAGCAAACGCACAGAGCUAAAAGAAGAAGAAGCAGAAGAGAAGGGUGUGCAGAUUGAUUGAAUGGCGAGCAGGUAUUGGGUGGUGUCUCUGCCGGCUCAAAACUCGGCGUCGUCUCUAUGGAACCGUCUGCAGGAACAAAUCUCCAAGCACUCCUUCGACACUCCCCUCUACAGAUUCAAUAUUCCCAAUCUCCGUGUUGGAACCCUGGAUUCUCUUCUCUCCCUCAGCGACGAUCUCUUAAAGUCCAACAACUUUGUAGAGGGUGUUUCUCAUAAGAUCAGGCGCCAGAUCGAGGAGCUCGAGAGGGUUUCAGGGGUGGAGAGUAGCGCUCUGACUGUCGAUGGAGUGCCUGUCGAUUCAUACCUCACCAGGUUCGUUUGGGAUGAAGCCAAGUACCCUACAAUGUCGCCUUUGAAGGAGAUUGUAGACAGCAUUCAUGGUCAAGUUGCAAAGAUUGAGGAUGAUCUCAAGGUUCGAGUAGCCGAGUAUAAUAAUGUCCGCAGUCAAUUGAACACUAUCAAUCGAAAGCAGAGUGGAAGUUUAGCAGUCCGUGAUCUUUCUGGUUUAGUGAAACCAGAGGACAUCAUUAUUUCAGAACAUCUAGUGACUCUCCUUGCAAUUGUUCCCAAGUACUCUCAGAAGGACUGGCUAUCAAGCUAUGAGACCCUGACUAACUAUGUGGUUCCAAGGUCCUCCAAGAAGUUAUUUGAAGAUAAUGAAUAUGCUCUUUACACUGUAACACUAUUUAAUCGGGUCGCAGAUAACUUUAGAACAAGUGCUCGUGAAAAGGGGUUCCAGAUUCGUGAUUUUGAAUACAGUUCUGAAGCACAAGAAAGUCGAAAGCAGGAGUUAGAAAAAUUGGUGCAAGACCAAGAAAAUUUAAGAGGCUCCCUUUUGCAGUGGUGCUAUACCAGUUAUGGGGAGGUUUUCAGCUCCUGGAUGCAUUUUUGUGCCGUACGUGUCUUUACAGAGAGCAUUUUGAGAUAUGGUUUACCACCAAAUUUCUUGGCAUGUGUAUUAGCCCCUCCUACAAAAGCUGAGAAGAAAGUGCGUUCAAUCCUUGAAGGGUUGUGUGACAGUGGCAACAGGCAAGUCCAUUAGCUUUCUUUAUGUUAGUUGCACACGAAGGGAGAACCUCACCUCUUCCAUAAAACAUAACUGACCAAUUGUGAGCACCUUCUGGAAAACCGAUGAUGAAGUCGGCGGAGGGGUGCCUGGUCUAGCAGGUGAUGUGGAUGCACAUCCAUAUGUUUCGUUCACGAUCAAUCUUGUUUGAAUGGGCGCUUGAAUAUCCCGUCAGAAUCUGAGGAUCUUUUUGGACGACAAUAACAGUGGACGGGGUACUUGUAUAUUAGCAUUUACAGUUGUAUACUUUGUUUAUUUAUUUAUAAUUGCUGCUUUGGGAUUCCUCGUGAGGGUUCAUUGGGAUAUUAGAGGUGAAAUUUAUGGGGGAUUUUCAUCGCUAAACUUGUAGCCUUUUUGUUUUGGUGCUUAGAACUAGGGUAGUUUUUGUGGCUUUGCGUGCUAAUAUCUGUAGAGCAUGCAAUCAAUAAUCGUUUGAAGGAUACGAUGUGAAUAAUAUCUUUGGGUUUUCUUCCCUUUGACGAGGAAGGUAAGAACUACUUUUUUUAC
Pyrus x bretschneideri (Chinese white pear) is the source of this 1661-nucleotide RNA transcript. It is a transcript of the gene named V-type proton ATPase subunit C-like, with no coding region annotated. The record is from RefSeq and is a predicted model, not a curated record. Lineage: Eukaryota; Viridiplantae; Streptophyta; Magnoliopsida; Rosales; Rosaceae. The transcript has 11 exons.